Long non-coding RNA from Oncorhynchus tshawytscha (Chinook salmon), 3343 nucleotides. Lineage: Eukaryota; Metazoa; Chordata; Actinopteri; Salmoniformes; Salmonidae. The record is from Ensembl.
CCCCCAUUCACCUCUAUGUUGUCUUCUUUUCCUUCUCACCCUCUACCCCUUCCUUCUUUCCUCAGAGCUCCUGGAUCCCCUCUAGGUGUCAUCUGACAGUCUUUUCCUGGAGAGGGGGACUGAAGUGGAGAGGGAGGAGGGAAUAAAAAGGGAUGAAGGAGGAAAAGCAGACACUAACAGACAAGGAGUGAGGGAGACACAGUCGAAGGAAGAGAGACACACUAUCGCAGCUAUGCCCGAAGCCAAGAAGCCAGCAGCCAAGACAGAUAAGGCUGCAGCAGCACCUGCUGGUGAGGAAACUGUCCCAGGGGGACAGUCCGAGCUGACCGGACUAUUUGUAGAGAGGCCAGAGAGCACUACAGUAAUCAAAGGGAAGAACGUCACCUUUGUGGCUAAAGUGGACUCAUCUGACCUGCUGAGGAAGCCCAACAUGAAAUGGCUGAAAGGGAAGUGGCUGGACCUGGGCAGCAAGGCUGGCAAGCACGUGCAGUUUAAAGAGGCCUAUGACAGGAACUCCAAGGUCUACACAUAUGAGAUGAGCAUCAUCAAAGUAGUGGAAGGAGACGCAGGUGGCUACCGUUGUGAGGUCACCUCCAAAGACAAGUGUGACAGCUGUACAUUUGAAGUCACAGUGGAAGCCGUACAAGAGGAGCAGCCCGCCAACAUCCUGGAUGCCUUCAAGCGAUCGGGAGAUGCAGGAGAGGAUGCAGGUGACCUGGACUUCAGUGCCCUCCUCAAAAAAAGGGAAAAAAAGGCRAGGGACGAGCCCAAAGAGGAUGUGGAUGUGUGGGAGAUCCUGAAGGAUGCUAAGCCAUGUGACUAUGAGAAGAUUGCCUUUGACUAYGGCAUCACAGACCUCAGGGGCCUGCUCAAGAGACUGAAGAAGAUGAAGAAGGUGGAACCCAAGAAGAGUGACGCCUUCCUGAAGAAGCUAGAGCAAUGUUACUCUGUGGACAAGGGCAAGAGGACCCAGAUGCAUGUUGAGCUCCAUGACCCCAACGUUCAGGUCAAAUGGCUGAAGAACGGAGUGGAGAUCAAACCCUCUGCCAAGUAUGUGUUUGAGUGCGUGGGCAACAAACGGACACUCACCAUCAACAAGAGCAACCUGUCUGACGAUGCAGCCUAUGAGUGUGUGGUGGGAGAGGAGAAGAGCUUCACUGAAGUCUUUGUCAAAGAGCCCCCGGUCACCAUCACCAAGCUGCUGGACGAUGUGCAUGUAGUGGUGGGAGAGAAGGUGGAGUUUGAGUGUGAGGUGUCAGAGGAAGGAGCCAACGUCAAAUGGAUGAAAGAUGGAGUUGAGCUGACCAAGGAUGGGAAGUACAGGAUAAAGAAGGAUGGGAAGAAACACACUCUGGUCAUCAAUGAAGCAACCAUAGAGGACAUCGGAAUGUACUAUGUUUACACUAAUGGGGGAGAAUCCAAAGGAGAACUGGAAGUGGAAGCCAAGGAGCUGGAGGUUCUGCAGAGUAUAGCUGACCUGUCGGUGAAGGCGUGUGAACAGGCCAUGUUCAAGUGUGAGGUGUCUGAUGAGAAGGUGGUGGGCAAGUGGUUCAAGGACGGUGUGGAGGUCAAACCCGGCAACCGCAUCAAGAUGUCACACAUCGGAAGGAUCCACAAGCUGACGAUUGAUGACGUGAAGCCGCAGGACGAAGGAAACUACACCUUUGUCCCUGAAGGAUACGCACUCUCCCUCUCCGCUAAACUCAACUUCAUUGACCCUCCCAAAAUCCACCUGGACACCAGUAGCACGGGCAGCAAGAACACCAUUGUUGUGGUGGCUGGCAACAAGCUCCGCCUUGAUGUGGAGAUCACAGGAGAGCCUGUCCCCACUGUGUGCUGGAUGAAAGGAGACACUGGCAGAGUGAGGGUGGAAACUAGGACCACUCUGAGCAGCUUUGUCAUUGAGGGGGCGGAGAGGCCAGACGAAGGCCAGUACUCUAUCAUAGUGACCAACCCAGCCGGAGAGGACAGGGCUGAGCUCAAUGUCAAGAUUGUUGAUGUGCCUAACCCUCCAGAGAACGUCAGAUGUAUGGGAGUUGGCGAGGACACAGCCACCAUUACAUGGGAUCCCCCCAAAUUUGACGGGGGUGCACCCAUCAAAGGCUACUUGAUGGAGAGGAAGAAGCAGGGUUCCUCCAGGUGGACCAAGCUGAACUUUGAGGUGUUUGAGUCAACCACGUACGAGGCUAAGAAGAUGAUUGAGGGUGUUUUUUAUGAGAUGAGAGUGUUUGCUGUCAACGGGAUCGGGAUCUCCCAGCCCAGCGGCAACUCAAAGCCCUUCAUGCCCAUAGCCCCUACCAGUGAGCCCACUCGUCUGACGGUGGAGGAUGUGACAGACAGCACCUGUGCCCUGAAGUGGCGUCCUCCAGAGAGGGUUGGAGCAGGGGGCGUUGACGGGUACAUAAUCGAGUGGUGCAAAGAAGGAGAGGAUAACUGGGUGGAAGCCAAUAAGGAGCCAGUGGACAAGAACACGUACCGUGUGAAGGGGCUGCCAACAGGAGAGAAGCUCUUGUUCAGAGUGGUGGCUAUGAACAUCACUCACACACAUUACCCAAAGAUCCGCCUGCCUCGCCAGCUAAGAACCAAGUUCAUCAGGAAAGUGGGCGAGAAGAUCAACCUGGUCAUCCCCUUCCAGGGGAAGCCUCGCCCCGUGGUCAACUGGCUGAAAGAUGGUGAGCCCCUGGAGAAUAAGUCGGUGGGCAUCCGCACCAGUGACUUUGACACCAUCCUGUUCAUCCGCUCGGCAGAAAGGGACCACUCUGGGACGUACACCCUGUCUGUCCAGAUAGACAACAUGCAGGACAAGGCUGACAUACACAUCCAGAUCGUAGGUCAGUCACUGGCACCAACAUCAUUAGGGGCUCUGGUGAAAAGUAAAAAAGUAUGUGAACCCUUUGGAUGUAUCUGGAUUUCUGCAUCAGUUGGUCAUACAAUUAGAUCUGAUCUUCAUCCAAGUCACAACAAUAGACAAACACAGUCUGCUUUAACUAAUAACACACAAAGUAUUUCCCUCCCUCCUCUCUUAACUCCCCCUCUCCCGUCCUCUCCUCAGGCUAAGAUAGUGUGGAUGAAGAACAAGAUGAUCAUUGGGGAGGAUCCUAAAUUCUUGAUGCAGAACAACCAGGGGGUGUUGACCCUGAACAUCAGGAAGCCCGGCCAGUUUGACGGGGGCAAGUACUCCUGUAAGGCCAUCAACGACCUGGGGGAGGACGAGGUGGAGUGCAGGCUGGAAGUCCGAGGUACUGGCACACACACACACAGUCCUCUCUUUCAUGGUGAGUUUCUCUCUCUGCCCUCCCCAGUCUUAAAGGAGAAGAAAGAAGGAGACGAGGAGAAGAAAUGA